UCUGUUUGACUAUAAAAAAAGUCUGACCUGCCCACUGACUAGGAGGAUUUAAGGGCCGCAGUAUUAUGACUGUGCAAAGGUAGCAUAAUCAUUAGGUUUUUAAAUGAGAUCUUGUAUGAAUGGUCGAACAAAGGAGAAGCUGUUUUAGUUUUAGAAUUUGAAUUUUACUUUUAAGUGAAAAGGCUUAAAUAUUUUAGAGGGACGAUAAGACCCUAUAAAGCUUUACAUAAAGGUUGUAUUUAAUUGAAUUUAUAUUUAUUUUAAAGGUUUAAUAUGAAUUUUGUUUUGUUGGGGAGACAGGGGCAGAAGUGUUUUAACUGCUUAAAAGGCAAUCAUUUAUUUAUGGUUAGUAGAAGAUCCUUAUUAAAGAUUAGAAGUU
RNAcentral lists this ribosomal RNA (379 nucleotides) under Holthuisana festiva. RNAcentral's name for it is "partial 16S ribosomal RNA". Lineage: Eukaryota; Metazoa; Arthropoda; Malacostraca; Decapoda; Parathelphusidae. The record is from RNAcentral.